Molecule: long non-coding RNA, 1791 nt
Organism: Amphiprion ocellaris (clown anemonefish)
Lineage: Eukaryota; Metazoa; Chordata; Actinopteri; Pomacentridae
Source: Ensembl
GGUCUUUCCUGGUGUUGGUAAGUAACACUGACUAAUUGACCAGGGGCGGCAGAUCGCUUUCACCGACUCACAGCAACAGGUGGUCUCCGCUGCAGACGGACGACAAACAAGAUUCACUCUCCUGAAGGCUGAGCCCAAUGGAGCAGAACAGUUAAUGUGGCGGAAAUUUAAAGAGAACAUCACAAGUAUUUGUGCUUAUUUUGUUGGCUGACAAACAGUUCGGAGGACUUUGGGGUUCUUCACUGGAAAUAUCAGGAGUUUGAGGGAUUUCAUGCUCACUUUGCUCCACUACAGAGUCCACAUCUGUGCCACACAGCGUGGUUCAUCAACAUCAACAAAUGCAUCCACACGCCCACCCGCAUGUCUUCACUCCAAUCCUGCACACUUCCUCAACCAUCCUACCAGCUCCAACUGUGAUGGGAACUCAGGACAGAAAUUUCAACAUGCAGCUUCCAACACAAAUGACAUCGAGGACCUCUUUUGCUCCAGUCAGUGCCUUUAAAACACCAACACAGAAGUCUGUCAAACCACCACAAAUGCUGCAAAAACCCAACAGUCUACAUCAAGAGAAUCCUGUCACCAGUUUACCCGACUCAGUGCAACACAAGGAAUCACAGCAGCCCUCCUGCAUGCAUCCGUAUUUGGACUUCUCAUGUGGACACAAUGCAUUUGGAAACACGUGUGAAAGGAGUGAAACUGGCAGAAUAAACCACAACAGAAGUUACCCUUCUGACGUUCGCACACCUUCACCAGCGUCUUGCCACAGUCGUGCAACAAAGAGGGAGCAGCCGGACCAGCCUCCAAACCUGCACUGGAGGGAGAAACCUGAUGAGAAGGAGAAACACAGGAGCUGUCAAACCGACACAAUGAAGGAUUUAUGUCUUACAGAGAAAUCACAGGACCCAAAGGUGACUCCAGAUCUUGUUGGCAGACACAGCAGCUCAGUUUACAGGAAAAGGCAGCUUGAGUGUGAAAGCUUCAUUAAAGUAAAGAGGGCGAAGCAGGAAAUCCUGGAUAACCAGUUUAGUGGUUCUAAGAAUCUGCACUCUGAUCAAUCUCCACUUAUUACGACUCACACACAUCCAGCUUCACACAUUGUACAAAGGCAGCAUAUGAACUUAAGUGAUUUAUCUGUCUUGCAUCCUAACAGCAGUAGAUGCAGCAUCUCUUUUCCAGUCACUGAACUGGAUCCCUACAAAGCUACUUCAUGGGACCAAAUGUUAGACAUUCACAGGAGAAUGGAUCUUCGUGAUAGACAAAAUGUGCUCAAAGACUACUCACUGAAUUCCUGCAAAGUAAUCAGGAUACCUGCUGCAGCUCAGAGGCAACAAAAUGCUCUUUAUGGUUUCUAUGCACCCCCUCUGUAUUUCCCUCCGGCUCUGAGGCAGCAGGAGAUCGUUUACCUGAGAGGAAGGGAAACACUCGCAUCAAGAGAUGUUUCACUACCACUGCAGACGUCACCGCCCUCAUCCUGGCAUUCUGGAAACGUCCUACCCGGAACUGUAAAUCUCAAGGGACUAUCUGAUAAAAAAGGAGAGCAGAUAUUAUCACAACAACAAUCACUCAAUAAUAGUUGAGUUCAGUGUGCAUCGUUUCAGUAGCGCUCCAUGCUGUCCCAAAUGUGAAAACCCAGAGAAAGUGGAGAGCUUUUGAUUACAGUCAAGUAUUACUAACAAAAGAUGCACAAUAGCUUUAGAUAGGGAAAGAGAAUUGUGAAUAAAGCUUGUUGUCCUGGAUAUGUGACUUUCUUACAAUAUGAUUCCCAUGUAAAACUGGUUCUUUCAUUAAACU